AGAGUGAACGCUGGCGGUAGGCCUAACACAUGCAAGUCGAACGGCAGCACGGUAAGAGCUUGCUCUUAUGGGUGGCGAGUGGCGGACGGGUGAGGAAUACAUCGGAAUCUACCUUUUGGUGGGGGAUAACGUAGGGAAACUUACGCUAAUACCGCAUACGCCCGUUCGGGGGAAAGCCGGGGACCAGCAAUGGCCUGGCGCUGAUAGAUGAGCCGAUGUCGGAUUAGCUAGUUGGUGAGGUAAUGGCUCACCAAGGCGACGAUCCGUAGCUGGUCUGAGAGGAUGAUCGAGCCACACUGGAACUGAGACACGGUCCAGACUCCGUACGGGAGCAGCGAGGUGGGAAUAGUUGGACAAGUGGGC
Molecule: ribosomal RNA, 363 nt
Filed under: uncultured soil bacterium
Lineage: Bacteria
Description: bacterial SSU rRNA
Rfam family: Bacterial small subunit ribosomal RNA
Source: RNAcentral